This is a non-coding RNA of Pelodictyon phaeoclathratiforme, 116 nucleotides long. The record is from Rfam. Lineage: Bacteria; Pseudomonadati; Chlorobiota; Chlorobiia; Chlorobiales; Chlorobiaceae.
GAGGGAAGUCCCCUCGCAUUCGGCUUGCAGGAGCAGGGUGCAAACCACCGUAAGCGGCAUUAGUCAAAAGCCCUUGUCGUGAGCGUUACGGAAAAGGCAUCGUAAAGAUGUCAGGU